Molecule: long non-coding RNA, 1292 nt
Filed under: Sus scrofa (pig)
Lineage: Eukaryota; Metazoa; Chordata; Mammalia; Artiodactyla; Suidae
Description: lncRNA (ENSSSCG00060058737.1)
Source: RNAcentral
GGAGUAAGAGAUGAGUAUCCUUUGUUCUGUUUUUCCUCACAGUAUAACUGCAUUAAGUGGGCACCAGAAAAGGGGCAUCUAUACAUCAGGCCCCUGCCUCUAAUUGGGUACGGAAAUCCUAAGGCCCAAAUCAGUAAGCACAGCAUUCUCAAGCAGGACAUUCCAAGGGAAAGAAAUUUAAAAAUCCCCUCUCCCGAAAACCUAACGCAUUUCACGGAAACAAAGCAGCAGCACCAACUCACAAAGAACCUCGCUUUUAGAGGCGCAGCAGCGAGUCGCUUCACUUCACAGGCCUUUUCUGGACACGGACAGGCUGGGGAAGCAAAACAGGGUUCGUUACACCGCAGGCUUUCUGGACUCGGUCAACGCCCACCCCCCGCACCCCCUGGACCCUCGCUACCCGUAGCCACCCGCACGCAGACCCGAGAGGACCGCGGUCAUUUGGGUCCGCAGCUCGGAGACCACAACUGUCGUUCGGACCCCACAACUGCCCACCCCCGGGCGGCCCACCGCGUCGCUGCAGAGGACUUGCACUCCGAGGCUCUCCCUCCCACUUCCCUCUCAGGCCCCUUCUCCACGCCGGGCCUCGAGGCGAGGAAGGCGGCGCGCAGGACCUCCACGUCUCUCGAGGCACAAGAGGCCGGGGCAGCGCCCCAUUACGGCCGCGCGUGCUCAACCCCGCGCCUCCGGCUCUGAGCACCGCCAGCCCUCGCUCUGGAGGAAACGCCUCGUGGCCUGAGGCCCCGGAGCCCACCCUUGCAUCUGGUCCGCAGAACGAGCCCCGUGUGCCACGCUCCUUGUCUUCAGAAAAUAACGAAUAAAUCCAGACAUGAAGUAGGACAAUGUCUCUCCUGUUCCAGUCUGCGCUGCUCCUGUAAGAUCUAUUCCUUGUAGAAUGAUUAGCCAUGCCUGUGAUUGAAACAGAAUGAUAAAUAUUAAAAUAAAAGGCUCAUUUCUGUCAAGUGUUCCUCCUUUCUCAGCCCCAAACUUCGUUCAACGUUUUAGCUUCUAGGCAGUGGCAGAGGUACUGUGGGAAUGCUCCUAAGAGGCAGUUUUGCUCCUGAGUUUUAUAACAUCCAAAAGCCAGAAAUUAUUUGGGUUGGGGGGGGGGGAUCAGUGAAAUGUUAGAAUUAAAAACAGCAUACCUAGAGCUCUCCUCGGGGCUCGGUGGUUAGCAAAUCCAACUAGGAACCGAGAGGUUGCAGGUUCGAUCCCUGGCCUCGCUCAGUGGGUUAGGGAUCCAGCGUUGCCUUGAGCUGUGGUGUAGGUCACAGACGCAACUCAGAUCUGGC